CCUACGGGGCGCAGCAGUAGGGAAUCUUCCACAAUGGGCGAAAGCCUGAUGGAGCAACGCCGCGAGGGUGAAGAAGGUCUUCGGAUCGUAAAACCCUGUUGUUAGAGAAGAAAUUGCGUGAGAGUAACUGUUCACGUUUCGACGGUACCUGACUAAGAAGCCCCGGCUAACUACGUGCCAGCAGCCGCGGUAAUACGUAGGGGGCAAGCGUUAUCCGGAUUUACUGGGUGUAAAGGGAGCGGAGACGGCAAGGAAAGCCAGAAGUGAAAGGGCAGGGCUAAACCCUGUACAUGCUUGUGAACGUGUGGUGCUAGAGUGCAGGAGAGGUAAGUGGAAUUCCUAGUGUAGCGGUGAAAUGCGUAGAUAUUAGGAGGAACACCAGUGGCGAAGGCGGCUUACUGGACUGUAACUGACGUUGAGGCUCGAAAGCGUGGGGAGCAAACAGGAUUAGAUACCCGGGUAGUC
RNAcentral lists this ribosomal RNA (465 nucleotides) under uncultured bacterium. RNAcentral describes it as "partial 16S ribosomal RNA". It matches the Rfam family "Bacterial small subunit ribosomal RNA", at positions 338 to 795 of the family's 1533-position model. The record is from RNAcentral.